Molecule: long non-coding RNA, 1900 nt
Organism: Ananas comosus (pineapple)
Lineage: Eukaryota; Viridiplantae; Streptophyta; Magnoliopsida; Poales; Bromeliaceae
Exons: 5
Source: RefSeq, a predicted model, not a curated record
GGCCUUCUUUGUCUCUCCCCUUUUCCUGUAAAUUUCUUCAUUUCUUAAUUGUGUACAAAAUUUGAGUCUUGUAAACAAGUUCUUCCUCCUCCCUUCGGGCAUUCCCGAAAGGGAAAUCUUAUAUUGUCUAUAAUGUCAUGUCAACCAUCUUCACCAACACCUACUUUCUCAUCAUCUUCAGAAGGUAGUCUAGCCCAAAAGACAAGAUACAAAGAGAACUCGUAGACCAGCGAACAACAUCUUGGUUGCCUUCGUAUGGGUUGUAAAGAUUCCAUACAAGACAAAAGUUAGAAAGAUUCUAUGGAGGACAAGCCAGCAAUAAGGAAUAACUAAGUUCAUUCGGAAUGAAGCAAGCACAUCAAGCAAAAGGAAAGGAAAUUCAAUCGGUACACAUCAGAUCAUGGACCAAGUCGCUGACAUUUUCACAACGACCCCCGAUUCAAAGUUAUUUCACAGACUAAAGACCUUAUUUGGAAUGGUUAAUGGCACGAAAUUUCGUCUAAGGGGGAUUGUCGGAAUUAGUAAACCAAAUCAUAGUUAGUUAAUUCGGAUUCGGCAAAAAUUCGCACGCGGCGUAGCAGACGGCGUCGGGCAAGAUGGAACUAUGGGAACUGUAGCCGCGGCCCUCUUUCUCCCGGCGCCGGCCAGGGCAGCGGCGGAGGAGGAGGACGACGAGCGUCGCCGACUCGCGGGCCUUUUUUUUGGGCGAAAACGGACGGCGUCGGGGGAGGUGGAAACCGUAGCCGCGCCCUCCUGCUCCCGACGCCGGCCAGGGCGGCGGCGGAGGAGGACGACGACGAUGCUCGUCGUCGCCGACUCGCGAGCCGAUUUUUUGGGCGAAUUAUUUGCGAAUAGCGAAUAAUUCGCGGAUAAUUUUUUUUGGAGAAAAAAAUGCGUUUUUUUUCGCACUUUUGGGAAAAAUACGUUUCAUGCCGUUUAAUUCGGCUAAUCAAAAAUUCGCGAAUAAUUCGCGUAUUAUACGCGAAUUUACUAACUAUGAACCAAAUUAAGCUUACCUUGUUAUUAGUGAUGGUGUAACACACUAGACCUUUGCAAAUUGCGAGGUUCGAGUGUUUGAUCUGUGUUCCAAGUUUUUCCAGGUAUUCUGGAGGGUCAUUGACAGUGUUCCGACCUAUAGCUCGCAUUCCGAGAAUCGAGGUUUAAAAUUUAACACCAAAGUCUCUAAAGUGAAGAUUGUUGGCUGCUCUCAGAUUGGACUCUGCAGAGCAGAGUACCGAUACAGCAUCGGGCCUGUACCGGAACCAGACCUGGUACCGGUACAACAUCGGACUUGUACCGGUACCCAGUGUGUUUUUCUGCGAACCCAAGGCUCGGGUUUGCGCAGACUGCUAUUUGGUACCAGUACUCUUUCCCGUAUACCGGUACGCAGUGCAGACUGCAUACUGCUUGGUUUUUAGGGGUGUUUUUGAUAUUGUAGCAACCUUAUAAGACCCCCCACACCCCUCCGGUGUUCCCUGAGCUUGGAACCAGUGGAGAAGCAGGUAAGGGAGCUCUCCCCUUCCCCUUUUUCAUUUUCUUUCAUUUUUGUUGGAAUUUUGAGGUUUAAUCCUCUCUUUUUGCCCCUUUUUGCUUCUUGGAGCUAUUUCCACCAAGAGAAAAGCAUUGGAGCAAGGUUUGGGACUUGUUGGAGGGAGGAUCUUCAACCCUAGCCCACUUUCUUGCUUGGUUUGAAGCUUUGGACAGGUUGGAUUUGAAGGAAUUUUACUCUCAUUUGGAGAUUGAGAGAGAUUUUCACCAUACAAGAGCCUUCCACUCCGGGAGAGGCUCGGGAUCGCGGAAAAAGAAUCGCCUCGAGCUAGUUAGCGAGGGAUUUUACGAUAGGUGGUUCACCUCUUUUUGUUUUUAUUUGGAGAGGAGAGUUUUUGUAUCCAUGUAUAGA